GUUCCAGGAGGAGUGAGAAGCCUGUCAGCAUGCAAUUCAGAUCAGACUUGCAGUUAGCUUCACAAGUCUUCAAUUCAGUGUUGUGUUUGUCCUACCGUCUCGAUCAGAUCUGACAACCAUUUGCUAUAACAAGGCACAUCAGAAGUGAUAGAUAGAUACAAUAGCUUGGAGAACAUAUGGAGAACUUGAAUCGAAGAAGGGAUGGUUUAUGAUCACUCACCAAUCAUAAUCAUGCUUCCCAACAUCAGCAGACAAGAGAUCCUCACCUUUCUGAUGGUCAGAUCCAUGAUGUGAACUAGCUCUGUUCUGGUGUAUCCUCCAGAAGAGAUCCAGGCUUUCAUCUCCUUCCUUUGUUCCUCCUCCGCAGAACUGCUGCACGUUCCUCCCUCCCGUCGGUG
Molecule: long non-coding RNA, 398 nt
Organism: Musa acuminata AAA Group (dessert banana)
Lineage: Eukaryota; Viridiplantae; Streptophyta; Magnoliopsida; Zingiberales; Musaceae
Exons: 3
Source: RefSeq, a predicted model, not a curated record